This 468-nucleotide ribosomal RNA is filed under the name uncultured bacterium. RNAcentral's name for it is "partial 16S ribosomal RNA". It matches the Rfam family "Bacterial small subunit ribosomal RNA", at positions 28 to 507 of the family's 1533-position model. The record is from RNAcentral.
GACGAACGCUGGCGGCGUGCUUAACACAUGCAAGUCGAACGGAAAGGCCCUGCUUUUGUGGGGUGCUCGAGUGGCGAACGGGUGAGUAACACGUGAGUAACCUGCCCUUGACUUUGGGAUAACUUCAGGAAACUGGGGCUAAUACCGGAUAGGAGCUCCUGCUGCAUGGUGGGGGUUGGAAAGUUUCGGCGGUUGGGGAUGGACUCGCGGCUUAUCAGCUUGUUGGUGGGGUAGUGGCUUACCAAGGCUUUGACGGGUAGCCGGCCUGAGAGGGUGACCGGGCCAAAUGGGGAUGAGGUACGGCCCCGACUCCUACGGGGGGCAGCAGUGGGGAAUAUUGCACAAAGGGCGGAAGCCUGAUGCAGCAACGCCGCGUGCGGGAUGACGGCCUUCGGGUUGUAAACCGCUUUCGCCUGUGACGAAGCGUGAGUGACGGUAAUGGGUAAAGAAGCACCGGCUAACUACGUG